GUGGAUAGAGAUGGGCACGCGCAAGAUUAGAUAGUUGGUGAGGUAACGGCUCACCAAGUCUACGAUCUUUAGGGGGCCUGAGAGGGUGAUCCCCCACACUGGUACUGAGACACGGACCAGACUCCUACGGGAGGCAGCAGUGAGGAAUAUUGGACAAUGGGUGAGAGCCUGAUCCAGCCAUCCCGCGUGAAGGACGACGGCCCUAUGGGUUGUAAACUUCUUUUGUAUAGGGAUAAACCUACUCUCGUGAGAGUAGCUGAAGGUACUAUACGAAUAAGCACCGGCUAACUCCGUGCCAGCAGCCGCGGUAAUACGGAGGGUGCAAGCGUUAUCCGGAUUUAUUGGGUUUAAAGGGUCCGUAGGCGGAUGUGUAAGUCAGUGGUGAAAUCUCACAGCUUAACUGUGAAACUGCCAUUGAUACUGCAUGUC
RNAcentral lists this ribosomal RNA (429 nucleotides) under Chryseobacterium sp. SN1. RNAcentral's name for it is "bacterial SSU rRNA". It matches the Rfam family "Bacterial small subunit ribosomal RNA", at positions 215 to 641 of the family's 1533-position model. Lineage: Bacteria; Pseudomonadati; Bacteroidota; Flavobacteriia; Flavobacteriales; Weeksellaceae. The record is from RNAcentral.